GCAUAUCAAUAAGCGGAGGAAAAGAAACUAACCAGGAUUCCCCUAGUAACUGCGAGUGAAGCGGGAAGAGCUCAAAUUUAAAAUCUGGCAGUUUCUUUUAUAGCUGUCCGAGUUGUAAUUUCGAGAAGUGUUUUCUGUGCUGGACCAUGUACAAGUCUCCUGGAAUGGAGCGUCAUAGAGGGUGAGAAUCCCGUCUUUGACAUGGACUACCAGUGCUUUGUGAUACACUCUCAAAGAGUCGAGUUGUUUGGGAAUGCAGCUCAAAAUGGGUGGUGAACUCCAUCUAAAGCUAAAUAUUGGCGAGAGACCGAUAGCGAACAAGUACCGUGAGGGAAAGAUGAAAAGCACUUUGGAAAGAGAGUGAAACAGUACGUGAAAUUGCUGAAAGGGAAACGCUUGAAGUCAGUCGCAUUUGCUGGAACUCAGCCAUUUUUUAAUUGGUGUACUUUCCAGUAGAUGGGCCAGCAUCACUUUUUUUUAAUUUGGCUUGCUGGAAAAGGGCAAGAGGAAUGUGGCACUCUUUUAUUAGAGUGUGUUAUAGACUCUUGUCAUAUACAGUGGCUAGGAGUGAGGACUGCCUAUUAUUAUUUUAUGUAGUAAUAGUAGGAUGCUGGCAUAAUGGCUUUAAACGACCCGUCUUGAAACACGGACCAAGGAGUCUAACAUGCAUGCAAGUGUUUGGGUGGUAAAACCCAUGCGCGUAAUGAAAGUGAAUAGUUGGGAAGGUUAUCAUGGCCUGCACUGAUGCCCGGACUUGAGAUUUAUCGAUAGUUCUGCGGUAGAGCAUGUAUGUUAGGACCCGAAAGAUGGUGAACUAUGCCUGAAUAGGGUGAAGCCAGAGGAAACUCUGGUGGAGGCUCGUAGCGAUUCUGACGUGCAAAUCGAUCGUCAAAUUUGGGUAUAGGGGCGAAAGACUAAUCGAACCAUCUAGUAGCUGGUUCCUGCC
Molecule: ribosomal RNA, 946 nt
Filed under: Dichopleuropus spathulatus
Lineage: Eukaryota; Fungi; Basidiomycota; Agaricomycetes; Russulales; Lachnocladiaceae
Description: LSU rRNA
Rfam family: Eukaryotic large subunit ribosomal RNA
Source: RNAcentral